RNAcentral lists this small nucleolar RNA (56 nucleotides) under Methanosphaerula palustris E1-9c. RNAcentral's name for it is "Small nucleolar RNA sR3". It matches the Rfam family "Small nucleolar RNA sR3". Lineage: Archaea; Methanobacteriati; Methanobacteriota; Methanomicrobia; Methanomicrobiales; Methanoregulaceae. The record is from Rfam by way of RNAcentral.
GCGUGUGAUGAACAAUGGGUCUGCUGAAUUGGUGAUGACCCGUUGGAGCUCUGACG